Molecule: ribosomal RNA, 497 nt
Filed under: uncultured bacterium
Lineage: Bacteria
Description: partial 16S ribosomal RNA
Rfam family: Bacterial small subunit ribosomal RNA
Source: RNAcentral
GAUGAACGCUGGCGGCGUGCCUAAUACAUGCAAGUCGAGCGAACGGACGAGAAGCUUGCUUCUCUGAUGUUAGCGGCGGACGGGUGAGUAACACGUGGAUAACCUACCUAUAAGACUGGGAUAACUUCGGGAAACCGUAGCUAAUACCGGAUAAUAUUUUGAACCGCAUGGUUCAAAAGUGAAAGACGGUCUUGCUGUCACUUAUAGAUGGAUCCGCGCUGCAUUAGCUAGUUGGUAGGGUAACGGCUUACCAAGGCAACGAUGCAUAGCCGACCUGAGAGGGUGAUCGGCCACACUGGAACCGAGACACGGUCCAGACUCCUACGGGAGGCAGCAGUAGGGAAUCUUCCGCAAUGGGCGAAAGCCUGACGGAGCAACGCCGCGUGAGUGAUGAAGGUCUUCGGAUCGUAAAACUCUGUUAUUAGGGAAGAACAUAUGUGUAAGUAACUGUGCACAUCUCGACGGUACCUAAUCAGAAAGCCACGGCUAACUACGUG